UAGGGAAUAAUGCACAAUGGAGGAAACUCUGAUGCAGCGACGCCGCGUGAGUGAUGAAGGCCUUCGGGUCGUAAAGCUCUGUCGCAGGGGAAUAACACAAUGAAGGUACCCUGUAAGGAAGGAUCAGCUAACUUCGUGCCAGCAGCCGCGGUAAGACGAGGGAUCCUAGCGUUGUUCGGAAUUAUUGGGCGUAAAGCGGGUGUAGGUGGCUUUGUAAGUCAGGUGUGAAAGCCUAGGGCUCAACCCUAGAAGUGCAUUUGAUACUGCGAAGCUUGAGUGUUGGAGAGGAUAGUAGAAUUGUUGGUGUAGUGGUGAAAUACGUAGAUAUCAACAGGAAUACCGGAGGCGAAGGCGGCUAUCUGGCCAAACACUGACACUGAGAUCCGAAAGCGUGGGGAUCAAACAGGAUU
Molecule: ribosomal RNA, 410 nt
Filed under: uncultured bacterium
Lineage: Bacteria
Description: bacterial SSU rRNA
Rfam family: Bacterial small subunit ribosomal RNA
Source: RNAcentral